GUCUAUGGUCAUGCCACCCUGAACAAGCCUGAUGUCUGAUCUCAGAAGCUAAGCCAGGUCGGGCCUGGUUAGUACUUAGAUGGGAGACCACCUAGGAAGACCAGGUGCUGUAGGCA
Molecule: ribosomal RNA, 116 nt
Filed under: Pteropus alecto (black flying fox)
Lineage: Eukaryota; Metazoa; Chordata; Mammalia; Chiroptera; Pteropodidae
Also listed under: 1 other name
Source: RNAcentral